This 2278-nucleotide long non-coding RNA is filed under the name Sus scrofa (pig). RNAcentral's name for it is "lncRNA (ENSSSCG00060045147.1)". The record is from RNAcentral. Lineage: Eukaryota; Metazoa; Chordata; Mammalia; Artiodactyla; Suidae.
GAGGAGGCGGGGCUGCAGCCUGAAACUCUGCGGACUCGGAGCUGCGAAACCAGGCCAAGAGUGGUGGGGUAACUGGUGCAAGCAUGGCUCAUCGGCGGUGGCUCUAACGUGCAAACCCAGCUCUUCAGCACUUCUCCAUAGAGGAUGGGAUCUGUGUCUCCGGGGGCUGCGGUAACAAACACCACAGACCAGCUGGGUCCCCGUACCUAAGACUGGCCAAGGACAAGGAGUUCCUGUUGUGGCUGAGCAGUAACAAACCUAACAUCCAUGAGGAUGCAAGUUCGACCCCUGGCCUUGCUCAUUGGGUUAAUGAUCCAGCGUUGCCAUGAGCUGUGGUGUAGGUCCCAGCAUUGCUAUGGCUGUGGUAUAGGCCAGCAGCUGCAGCUCCAAUUCAGCCCCUGCCUUGGGAACUUCCAUAUGCCACAGUGAUGGUGACAAUUGAGCUGUGCCAGAACAACCAAGGCUGGAUCGACUGGCUCUCACCACCUGGACCAUGAUGGACUGUCCUUCUCAGGCUUCCAGCACAGCCACCUCCUGCCGGGGGAUGCAGGAAUCAGGCCACCUCCGUCUGUCCUUGCCAGAGACUAGGCUGCACCACAAGAAGCUCCUGGCUUAGCCCUGGAUCCUAACUGUCACGUGGCCAGAGAAACUGGACACUGUCACCCCACAUGUGUGGGAUGGAGGUUCCCACUUUUGUCUGCCUCGACUCCUGCUGUUUACAAGAUGCAUGGUUUCCUGAUGCUUGGCCCGUGCCUCCCUUUCUCUGCUCAUGUCUAGCUAUCUGCCUCCUGUGAUUUUCCCUAUUUGGGAAAAUCUUCCAAAAUAUCUUUUUUUUUUUUUUUUUUUUGGCUUAAGCAACAGACAUUUAUUUCUCACAGUUCUACAGGCUGGAAAAUCUAAGAUCAGGGUGCCAGCAUGGUCAAAUUCUUGGUGAGAACCCUUUUCUUGCCUUAUAGAUGGCCACCUUCUUUCUGUAUUCCCACACAGGGGAGAGAAAGCAAGCUCUGGUCUCUUUCUUUUUUCUUUUUAAUAGAAGUAUAGUUGAUUUACAAUGUUAAUUUCUGCUGUACAGAAAAAUAAUUCAGUUUUUUAAUGUAUAUAUAUAUGACACAUACACAUAUGUACUUUUUAAAUAUGUGUGAAUAUACACACACACACUUUUUAAAAAUAUUAUUUUCCAUUGUGAUUUAUCAUAGGACUUUGAAUAUAGUUCUCUGUGCUACACAGUAGGAUCUUGUUGUUAAAAAUAUCAUGUAAAGUGGUUGGAUAUGCAUUUCACCAGCAGUGAAGGAAAGUUCCUUUUGUUCCUCAUCCCCCAUCCAUCAGCGUAUCACUUUUUUGGCGUUUAUUAAGUCUAAUAGCUGUGCAGAGCUAUCUCAUUGUUUUAAUUGGUAAUUCCCUAAUGGUUUAUAAAGUUGAACAUGUUCUUGUAUGCUUAUUUACUAUCUGUAUAUCUUCUUUGUCCAGGUAUCUGUUCCAAUCUUUACCUAUUUUUAAGGGUGUUUGUUCUAGAGAGUUCUUGGAAUAAUUUUUUUUGCACAAAUCUUUUAUCAGAUAUGUAUUUUGCAAAUAAUUUUCUUUCAGUUUGUGGCUUGUCUUUUGGCUUUCUGAAUAAGACAUUUCAGAGUUUUUUUAAAAAUUUUAAAUCCAUGUUCAAAAUUUUAUUUGUGCAUAGGGUUUUGAGGUUUUGUGUUAAAAUUUACCAAAUUCAGAGUCAUGUAGAUUUCCUUCUAUGUUUUCAUCUACAACUUUUAUAGUUUUGCAUUAUAAAUUUGUCUAUGUACAAUUUUGAGUGAAUUUUGUUAUAGGUUGUAAAUUUGUGUCUACAGUGUUUUGCUUGCAUAUGGAUCCCAAUUAAUUAUUCUACAGCUCUUUUUGGAGAAAUCAUGGGAUAUUUGGCUCCAUUUCAGUGCGGAUUUCCAAAUUUAGUGGUUUCUGCAGGCUUUCCACCUGGAAGCAUGGGCUUCUCUGAACUAGGAGAUUGCAGGCUACACUUCCUAACUGGCCAGCAGGCAGUGCCAAGGCUGCCUCUCUGACCCUUGAGGUGCAUGUGUUCCCACUGAUGGACUUGGCUGGUGAAGGGGCUUGGCUUCUCCUACCACUGAUAGAAGCUCAAUCUCAGGAGUUCACUUGUGGUGCAGCAGGUUAAGGAUCCAGCAUCAUCAUUGUAGCAGCUCACGUUGCUGCUGUGGUGUGGGUUCAAUCCCUGGCCCAGAAACUUCCACAUGCCAUGGAAGUCAAUGUGGCAAAAAAAAAAAAAAAAAAAAAAAAAAAAAAA